Molecule: unclassified non-coding RNA, 240 nt
Filed under: soil metagenome
Description: partial contains 5.8S ribosomal RNA, internal transcribed spacer 2, and large subunit ribosomal RNA
Source: RNAcentral
AACCAUAGAAACCUGCGGAGUACCUGCGGAAGGAUCAUUACAGAGUUGCAAAACUCCCUAAACCAUUGUGAACGUUACCUAAACCGUUGCUUCGGCGGGCGGCCCGGAUCCUUCCCGGCGCCCCUCGGCCCUCGCGGGCGCCCGCCGGAGGUAAACCAAACUAUUGCAUUGUAUGGCCUCUCUGAGUCUUCUGUACUGAAUAAGUCAAAACUUUUAACAACGGAUCUCAGAUCGGAAGAG